Molecule: ribosomal RNA, 1284 nt
Filed under: Triticum aestivum (bread wheat)
Lineage: Eukaryota; Viridiplantae; Streptophyta; Magnoliopsida; Poales; Poaceae
Description: partial small subunit ribosomal RNA
Source: RNAcentral
AUGUUAGCAAUUGCCGCAUUCUACGAUUAUGAGAUAUGGCAAAUGGACGUCAAAACGGCAUUCCUUAAUGGUUUCCUUAAGGAAGAAUUGUAUAUGAUGCAGCCGGAAGGUUUUGUCGAUCCUAAGAAUGCUGACAAGGUGUGCAAGCUCCAACGCUCGAUUUAUGGGCUGGUGCAAGCAUCUCGGAGUUGGAACAUUCGCUUUGAUGAGAUGAUCAAAGCGUUUGGGUUUACGCAGACUUAUGGAGAAGCCUGCGUUUACAAGAAAGUGAGUGGGAGCUCUGUAGCAUUUCUCAUAUUAUAUGUAGAUGACAUACUUUUGAUGGGAAAUGAUAUAGAACUCUUGGACAGCAUUAAGGCCUACUUGAAUAAAAGUUUUUCAAUGAAGGACCUUGAAGAAGCUGCUUAUAUAUUAGGCAUCAAGAUCUACAGAUAUAGAUCAAGACGCCUCAUAGGUCUUUCACAAAGCACAUACCUUGAUAAGAUAUUGAAGAAGUUCAAUAUGGAUCAAUCUAAGAAGGGGUUCUUGCCUGUGUUACAAGGUAUGAAAUUGAGCUCAGCUCAAUGUCCGACCACGACAGAAGAUAUAGAAGAGAUGAGUGUCAUCCCCUAUGCCUCAGCCAUAGGUUCUAUUAUGUAUGCCAUGUUGUGUACCAGACCUGAUGUAAACCUUGCCGUAAGUUUGGUAGGAAGGUACCAAAGUAAUCCCGGCAAGGAACACUGGACAGCGGUCAAGAAUAUCAUGAAGUACCUGAAAAGGACUAAGGAAAUGUUUCUCGUUUAUGGAGGUGACGAAGAGCUCGUCGUAAAGGGUUACGUCGACGCUAGCUUCGACACAGAUCCGGAUGACUCUAAGUCACAAACCGGAUACGUGUAUAUUUUGAAUGGUGGGGCAGUAAGCUGGUGCAGUUGCAAGCAGAGCGUCGUGGCGGGAUCUACAUGUGAAGCGGAGUACAUGGCAGCCUCGGAGGAAGCACAUGAAGCAAUAUGGGUGAAGGAGUUCAUCACCGACCUAGGAGUCAUACCCAAUGCGUCGGGGCCAAUCAAACUCUUCUGUGACAACACUGGAGCUAUUGCACUUGCCAAGGAGCCCAGGUUUCACAAGAAGACCAGGCACAUCAAGCGUCGCUUCAACUCCAUUCGUGAAAAUGUUCAAGAUGGAGACAUAGAGAUUUGUAAAGUACAUACGGACCUGAAUGUAGCGGAUCCGUUGACUAAACCUCUCCCUAGAGCAAAACAUGAUCAACACCAGAAUUCCAUGGGUGUUCGAUUCAUCACAAUGUAA